CCGAGUUUACAACUCCCAAACCCUUUGUGAACCUUACCUAUCGUUGCUUCGGCGGGAUCGCCCCGGCGCCCUCGCGGCCCGGACCCAGGCGCCCGCCGGAGGACCCAAACUCUUAUGUCUCUUAGUGGUAUCUCUUCUGAGUUUUUUUUAUAAAUGAAUAA
Molecule: unclassified non-coding RNA, 161 nt
Filed under: uncultured Myrothecium
Lineage: Eukaryota; Fungi; Ascomycota; Sordariomycetes; Hypocreales
Description: sequence contains ITS1
Source: RNAcentral